RNAcentral lists this ribosomal RNA (253 nucleotides) under uncultured bacterium. RNAcentral's name for it is "partial 16S ribosomal RNA". It matches the Rfam family "Bacterial small subunit ribosomal RNA", at positions 524 to 776 of the family's 1533-position model. The record is from RNAcentral.
UACGUAGGGCGCAAGCGUUAUCCGGAAUUAUUGGGCGUAAAGAGCUCGUAGGCGGUUUGUCGCGUCUGCUGUGAAAGACCGGGGCUCAACUCCGGUUCUGCAGUGGGUACGGGCAGACUAGAGUGCAGUAGGGGAGACUGGAAUUCCUGGUGUAGCGGUGAAAUGCGCAGAUAUCAGGAGGAACACCGGUGGCGAAGGCGGGUCUCUGGGCCGAUACUGACGCUGAGGAGCGAAAGCGUGGGGAGCGAACAGG